AAUUUUGGACAAUGGGCGCAAGCCUGAGACAGCCAUGCCGCGCGAGUGAAGAAGGCCUUCGGGGUGUAAAGCUCUUUCGGACGGAAAGAAAUCGCGCAGCCAAAUACCCUGCGCGGUUGACGGACCCGUCAUAAAAACACCCGGCAAACUCGUGGCCAGCAGCCCCGGUGAUACGGAGGGGGCGGGCGUGAAUCGGAAUUACUGGGGGUAAAACGUGCGCAGGCGGUUGAUUAAAACAGGGGUGAAAUCCCCGGGCGUAACAUGCGAACUGCGCUUGUGACUGGUCAGCUAGAGUACGGCAGAGGGGGGUGGAAUUCCACGUGUAGCAGUGAAAUGCGUAGAGAUGUGGAGGAACACCGAUGGCGAAGGCAGCCCCCUGGGCCGAUACUGACGCUCAUGCACGAAAGCGUGGGUAGCAAACAGG
Molecule: ribosomal RNA, 424 nt
Filed under: uncultured bacterium
Lineage: Bacteria
Description: partial 16S ribosomal RNA
Rfam family: Bacterial small subunit ribosomal RNA
Source: RNAcentral